Molecule: long non-coding RNA, 1795 nt
Filed under: Homo sapiens (human)
Lineage: Eukaryota; Metazoa; Chordata; Mammalia; Primates; Hominidae
Description: HSALNT0242579
Source: RNAcentral
CAAGCAGUUUCUUUUAACUUAACUCCCCUUCACCACCCUCUGACACUUCUUACUCCUGGAGACCGCUGAUUGUUAUCUAUUCCUAUUUCUUUUUUCCAGAAUGUUCUAUAAAUGGAAUAAUAUAAAACUUUUUGGAGUCAGUUUCCUUGACUUAGCACAAUGCCUUUGAGAUUCAUAUAUGCUAUUGCAUUUAUCAAUAGUUCAUUUCUUUUUAUUGCUGAGUAGUAUCCCAUUGCAUGGGGACCAUGGUUUAUCUGUUUAACUAUGGAAAGACAUGAGAGUUGUCUCCAGUUGUCAGUGAUAUAGAUAAUGCAGCUAUAAACAUUCAUGUGUAGGUUUUAUGUGAAGAUAAAAUUUUAUUUCUUCUCUCGUUUUUUUUUUUUUUUUUUUUUUUUUGAACAAGGUCUCACCCUGUCACCCAGGCUGGAGUACAGUGGCAUGAUCUCAGCUCACUGCAGCCUGGACCUCUCAGGCUCAAGCAAUCCUCCCACCUCGGCCUCUUGAGUAGCUGGGACUACAGGUGCAUGCCACCACACCCAGCUACUUUUUUUUCAUCUUUUUUUUUUUUUUUUUGGUAGAGAUGAGGUCUCUCUAUGUUGCCCAGGCUGGUCUCAAACUCCUGAGCUCAAGUGAUCCUCCUGCCUUGGCCUCUCAGAGUGCUGGGAUUACAGCAUGAGUCAGUGCACCUGGCAGUUUUUAUUUCUUUAGUGCAAAAUGUCUCCACCUUGAAUUUAAAGUGGAAUAACCCUUUGUUGUGGGGAAUGUCCUGUGCAUUGCAGGAUGUUUGGCAGCAUCCUUGGAUCUAUCCAUUAGGUACCCGUAACAGCCUCUGAACCAGUUGUGAAAACCAAAAUGUCUCCUCACAUUACCAAAUGUUGGGGGGCAAAAUUGACUUCAGUGAAGACUUCAGUGAAGAAUUCAGUGACUUACUGAAGACUUCAGUAAAAACUCAUAAGCAAGAUCCUGGUCCAUAUGGUAGUAUAUGUUUCACUUUAAAUGAAGCUGCCAAGCUAUUUUUCAGGGCAUCUGUACCAUUUUGCAUUCCCCCAGCUAUGCCUGAGAGCUCCAAUUGUUCUGUAUCUUUGUGAGUACUUGAUAUUAGCAGGUUUCUUAAAUUUUUUGCCAUUCUGUAAUUAGGGAGUCCCUUGAUUUUAAAAUCAGGAACGACACCGUGGCAAAUAUUAGUGCAUGCAGCUCACUAAUAUUUCUAGUUCUGAAAUUCUCCUCACUUGAGAAAGUUUCAUUUCCUGCUCCUUUUAGGUUGCAUGUGACUAUAUGAAUUGGCUUGGCUAGAGUGAAAGUGGGGUGGGUCACUUCAUGGUGGACAUGUGUAGGAGCUGUUGCACACUGCUCCAUCUUCCCUCCCCCAAGCUUUAGCAACCACCUACAGUCCAGAUGGUGGAGAUGUCAUCAGCCAAUGUUGCUGAGUAGAAAUGACAUGGAAGAGAGUACCCUGCCAAACCUCAAAUGGACAUGAGGUCAUUCAUGGGGAUAGAGUAGGCAGGGUGUGUAGAAUCUUCUUCCAUCACAGCAUGAAACUGAGUGAAGACUUCAGACCAUGACAUCUGCAGAUGUUGGGCUUCAGUUGUGGGUUCCUCCAUUUUAUACUCCUUUCUUCCUGCUGGUGGGCAUGAUGGCUGGAGUUGAUGCAGUCAUUUUAGCACAAUGGGGAAAAGACCACGUGAGUACUAGAGGCUUCAUUAUGAAUAACAUUGAACAACUGGAACAACGCUAGCAGCUGCAAAUCCUCAAACUUCUCAUUAUGUGUCAAAAAUAAACUACUUGUAUUAGACAC